AUGGACGAAAGUCUGAUGGAGCAACGCCGCGUGAGUGAAGAAGGGUUUCGGCUCGUAAAACUCUGUUGUUAAAGAAGAACAUAUCUGAGAGUAACUGUUCAGGUAUUGACGGUAUUUAACCAGAAAGCCACGGCUAACUACGUGCCAGCAGCCGCGGUAAUACGUAGGUGGCAAGCGUUGUCCGGAUUUAUUGGGCGUAAAGCGAGCGCAGGCGGUUUUUUAAGUCUGAUGUGAAAGCCUUCGGCUCAACCGAAGAAGUGCAUCGGAAACUGGGAAACUUGAGUGCAGAAGAGGACAGUGGAACUCCAUGUGUAGCGGUGAAAUGCGUAGAUAUAUGGAAGAACACCAGUGGCGAAGGCGGCUGUCUGGUCUGUAACUGACGCUGAGGCUCGAAAGUAUGGGUAGCAAACAGGAUUAGAUACCCUGGUAGUCCAUACCGUAAACGAUGAAUGCUAAGUGUUGGAGGGUUUCCGCCCUUCAGUGCUGCAGCUAACGCAUUAAGCAUUCCGCCUGGGGAGUACGGCCGCAAGGCUGAAACUCAAAGGAAUUGACGGGGGCCCGCACAAGCGGUGGAGCAUGUGGUUUAAUUCGAAGCUACGCGAAGAACCUUACCAGGUCUUGACAUACUAUGCAAAUCUAAGAGAUUAGACGUUCCCUUCGGGGACAUGGAUACAGGUGGUGCAUGGUUGUCGUCAGCUCGUGUCGUGAGAUGUUGGGUUAAGUCCCGCAACGAGCGCAACCCUUAUUAUCAGUUGCCAGCAUUAAGUUGGGCACUCUGGUGAGACUGCCGGUGACAAACCGGAGGAAGGGGGGGGAUGACGUCAA
RNAcentral lists this ribosomal RNA (825 nucleotides) under Lactiplantibacillus argentoratensis. RNAcentral describes it as "bacterial SSU rRNA". It matches the Rfam family "Bacterial small subunit ribosomal RNA", at positions 371 to 1188 of the family's 1533-position model. The record is from RNAcentral. Lineage: Bacteria; Bacillati; Bacillota; Bacilli; Lactobacillales; Lactobacillaceae.